ACGACUCUCGGCAACGGAUAUCUCGGCUCUCGCAUCGAUUGGAGAACGCAGCGAAAUGCGAUACUUGGUGUGAAUUGCAGAAUCCCGCGAACCAUCGAGUUUUUGAACGCAAGUUGCGCCCAAAGCCUUUCGGCCGAGGGCACGUCUGCCUGGGUGUCACGCAACAU
This 167-nucleotide ribosomal RNA is filed under the name Croton lepidotus. Its description in RNAcentral is "5.8S ribosomal RNA". It matches the Rfam family "5.8S ribosomal RNA". From Rfam's summary of the family: 5.8S ribosomal RNA (5.8S rRNA) is a component of the large subunit of the eukaryotic ribosome. It is transcribed by RNA polymerase I as part of the 45S precursor that also contains 18S and 28S rRNA. The record is from RNAcentral. Lineage: Eukaryota; Viridiplantae; Streptophyta; Magnoliopsida; Malpighiales; Euphorbiaceae.